RNAcentral lists this ribosomal RNA (490 nucleotides) under uncultured bacterium. RNAcentral's name for it is "partial 16S ribosomal RNA". It matches the Rfam family "Bacterial small subunit ribosomal RNA", at positions 30 to 507 of the family's 1533-position model. The record is from RNAcentral.
AUUGAACGCUGGCGGCAGGCCUAACACAUGCAAGUCGAACGGUAACAGGAAGCAGCUUGCUUCUUUGCUGACGAGUGGCGGACGGGUGAGUAAUGUCUGGGAAACUGCCUGAUGGAGGGGGAUAACUACUGGAAACGGUAGCUAAUACCGCCUAACGUCGCAAGACCAAAGAGGGGGACCUUCGGGCCUCUUGCCUUCGGAUGUGCCCAGAUGGGAUUAGCUAGUAGGUGGGGUAACGGCUCACCUAGGCGACGAUCCCUAGCUGGUCUGAGAGGAUGACCAGCCACACUGGAACUGAGACACGGUCCAGACUCCUACGGGAGGCAGCAGUGGGGAAUAUUGCACAAUGGGCGCAAGCCUGAUGCAGCCAUGCCGCGUGUAUGAAGAAGGCCUUCGGGUUGUAAAGUACUUUCAGCGGGGAGGAAGGGAGUAAAGUUAAUACCUUUGCGCAUUGACGUUACCCGCAGAAGAAGCACCGGCUAACUCCGUG